This 465-nucleotide ribosomal RNA is filed under the name uncultured bacterium. RNAcentral's name for it is "bacterial SSU rRNA". It matches the Rfam family "Bacterial small subunit ribosomal RNA", at positions 28 to 476 of the family's 1533-position model. The record is from RNAcentral.
GAUGAACGCUGGCGGCGUGCCUAAUACAUGCAAGUCGAGCGAACAGAUAAGGAGCUUGCUCCUUUGACGUUAGCGGCGGACGGGUGAGUAACACGUGGGUAACCUACCUAUAAGACUGGAAUAACUCCGGGAAACCGGGGCUAAUGCCGGAUAACAUUUAGAACCGCAUGGUUCUAAAGUGAAAGAUGGUUUUGCUAUCACUUAUAGAUGGACCCGCGCCGUAUUAGCUAGUUGGUAAGGUAACGGCUUACCAAGGCAACGAUACGUAGCCGACCUGAGAGGGUGAUCGGCCACACUGGAACUGAGACACGGUCCAGACUCCUACGGGAGGCAGCAGUAGGGAAUCUUCCGCAAUGGGCGAAAGCCUGACGGAGCAACGCCGCGUGAGUGAUGAAGGUCUUCGGAUCGUAAAACUCUGUUAUUAGGGAAGAACAAAUGUGUAAGUAACUAUGCACGUCUGACGGU